This 495-nucleotide ribosomal RNA is filed under the name uncultured bacterium. RNAcentral describes it as "partial 16S ribosomal RNA". It matches the Rfam family "Bacterial small subunit ribosomal RNA", at positions 28 to 507 of the family's 1533-position model. The record is from RNAcentral.
GACGAACGCUGGCGGCGUGCCUAACACAUGCAAGUCGAACGCUGAAGGAGUAGCUUGCUCUUCUGGAUGAGUUGCGAACGGGUGAGUAACGCGUAGGUAACCUGCCUGGUAGCGGGGGAUAACUAUGGGAAUCGAUAGCUAAUACCGCAUAACAGUAGAUGUUGCAUGACAUUUACUUAAAAGGUGCAAUUGCAUCACUACCAGAUGGACCUGCGUUGUAUUGGCUAGUUGGUGGGGUCACGGCGCACCAAGGCGGCGAUACAUAGCCGAACUGAGAGGGUGAUCGGCCACACUGGGACGGAGACACGGCCCAGACUCCUACGGGAGGCAGCAGUAGGGAAUCUUCGGCAAUGGACGGAAGUCUGACCGAGCAACGCCGCGUGAGUGAAGAAGGUUUUCGGAUCGUAAAGCUCUGUUGUAAGAGAAGAACGAGUGUGAGAGUGGAAAGUUCACACUGUCACGGUAUCUUACCAGAAAGGGACGGCUAACUACGUG